UGGGGAAUAUUGCGCAAUGGGGGAAACCCUGACGCAGCGACGCCGUGUGAGUGAUGAAGGCUUUCGGGUCGUAAAGCUCUGUCGGAUGGGACGAAUAAGGGCUGUGUGAAUAAUACAGUCCGAUGACGGUACCGUCGAAGGAAGCACCGGCUAACUCCGUG
Molecule: ribosomal RNA, 161 nt
Filed under: uncultured bacterium
Lineage: Bacteria
Description: partial 16S ribosomal RNA
Rfam family: Bacterial small subunit ribosomal RNA
Source: RNAcentral